AAGUUGGAAGAGGUUGAUGGGCGGUUUGAGUUUAUGCAGUUUCAUGAAAAAGAAUUUUCUGAUUACUCCUUGUCUUCUGCAUCUGAUUGUUCUGACUCAAGCUUCAGCUCAAAUGCAAGUACAUCAACUAUACUUCUAGAUGAGGGUCCCAGGAAGAAAACAAGAGUUGAGGGUACUGUUGAUGCAGCAUCUGCUAAAAAGUUAAUUGAAGGUGUACUUGGAACCAAUUCAGGUGGUGAAGAGGUUCUCCAGGAAUAUCACACAACACAAACUCUAACAGAUGCUACCAGAAGAAAAAUGGUCAAUAUAAUAGUGGCUCACAUGAUUGAUUGCCAUGGGCACCUCCCCACCAAAGCUGUUAGAGAACAGUACGCGCUAGGGGUAGUGACAUUGUUCCCAUCCCUGAAAGACCCAUACUCCAAGAAAGGCUAUGAACACUUCUAUGAUGCUGCAAGCAGCACUGGAUACAUUUCUUGGCGUUUGAAAACGAUACAGAGAAAGACUAGAAGAGGAUCUGCAC
Long non-coding RNA from Astatotilapia calliptera (eastern happy), 520 nucleotides. NCBI's taxonomy places the organism in Eukaryota, Metazoa, Chordata, Actinopteri, Cichliformes, Cichlidae. The record is from Ensembl.